GGGGUUGUGGCUCAGUGGUAGAGCCCUUACCUGACAUGUGAGAGGCACUGGUUUGAAUCCUCAGUACCA
This 69-nucleotide transfer RNA is filed under the name Ictidomys tridecemlineatus (thirteen-lined ground squirrel). Its description in RNAcentral is "Spermophilus tridecemlineatus (thirteen-lined ground squirrel) tRNA". It matches the Rfam family "tRNA". Rfam says of the family: Transfer RNA (tRNA) molecules are approximately 80 nucleotides in length. Lineage: Eukaryota; Metazoa; Chordata; Mammalia; Rodentia; Sciuridae. The record is from Rfam by way of RNAcentral.